CAAUAGCGUAUAUUAAAGUUGUUGCAGUUAAAAAGCUCGUAGUUGGAUUUCUGGUUGAAGCGACCGGUCGGGCGUUGAUUCGUCUGCACUGGAGUCGGUUUUGGCCAUCCUCUAGGAAAGUGCGUCUGGUAUUAAGUUAUCGGGCGUAUGAUCCUGGUCUUUUACUGUGAAAAAAUUAGAGUGUUUAAAGCAGGCCUUCGCCUUGAAUACAUUAGCAUGGAAUAAUAAGAUAGGACUUUGGUCUAUUUUGUUGGUUUGCAGACCGAAGUAAUGAUUAAUAGGGAUAGUUGGGGGUAUUUAUAUUCCGAUGUCAGAGGUGAAAUUCUUAGAUUUUCGGAAGAUAAACUUAUGCGAAAGCAUUUACCAAGGAUGUUUNCAUUGA
This 382-nucleotide ribosomal RNA is filed under the name uncultured eukaryote. Its description in RNAcentral is "partial 18S ribosomal RNA". It matches the Rfam family "Eukaryotic small subunit ribosomal RNA", at positions 592 to 976 of the family's 1831-position model. The record is from RNAcentral.